GACCUCAAAUCAGGUAAGAAUACCCGCUGAACUUAAGCAUAUCAAUAAGCGGAGGAAAAGAAAAUAACAAUGAUUCCCUCAGUAACGGCGAGCGAAGAGGGAUAAGCUCAAAUUUUAAAUCUGUUGGGUUCCACUUAACAGAGUUGUAUUUUGAAGAAACGUUUUCUGCAUCCAGGAUUAGCCUAAAUCCUUUGGGAUAAGGUAUCAUGGAGGGUGAGAAUCCCGUUCAUGGUUAAUCUUAAGGAAGCUCUACGAUACGUUUUCCAAGAGUCGAGUUGUUUGGGAUUGCAGCUCAAAAUGGGAGGUAAAUUUCUCCUAAGGCUAAAUAUUGGCGAGAGACCGAUAGCGAACAAGUACCGUGAGGGAAAGAUGAAAAGAACUUUGAAAAGAGAGUUAAACAGUACGUGAAAUUGUUGAAAGGGAAACGAUUGAAGUCAGUCAUACCAACGGGAAAUCAACCUUUUGAGCUCGGUCUCGUGGGUUUUGAAGAGUUUCAAAGCCUUCGGAUUCGCGGGAUUGGGAUCUCUUGGUGUACUUUUUCGUACGGUUAGUCAACAUCGGUUUUGAAUGUCAUAAAAUGACUGGAGGAAUGUAGCUUCGAUCUCGUAUUGAAGUGUUAUAGCCUUUGGUAGAUGUGAUGUUUGAGACCGAGGAUUGCAACGGAUACCCUUCAGGGCUAUUCGUCUGAUCUCUGAUACGUUGCCUUGAUGUUGAAAGCUUGCUUAUGAUGUUAGGGUAUUACGGUCAAAAGGUUAGAACGGAUUAGAUUCGUUAAGGAUGUUGACGUAAUGACUUUAAACGACCCGUCUUGAAACACGGACCAAGGAGUCUAACAUAUAUGCGAGUGUUUGGGUGAUUAAACCCUUGCGCGUAAUGAAAGUAAUUUUGGUGAGAUCCGGGAAAAAAUUUUCGGAGCAUCAUCGACCGAUCAGGAUAUUU
This 939-nucleotide ribosomal RNA is filed under the name Funneliformis mosseae. RNAcentral describes it as "LSU rRNA". It matches the Rfam family "Eukaryotic large subunit ribosomal RNA", at positions 1 to 779 of the family's 3401-position model. Lineage: Eukaryota; Fungi; Glomeromycota; Glomeromycetes; Glomerales; Glomeraceae. The record is from RNAcentral.